GACAGAGGAUGCAAGCGUUAUCCGGAAUGAUUGGGCGUAAAGCGUCUGUAGGUGGCUUUUUAAGUUCGCCGUCAAAUCCCAGGGCUCAACCCUGGAAUGCCGGUGGAAACUGUCGGGCUGGAGUCCGGAAGAGGCGAGUGGAAUUCCUGGUGUAGCGGUGAAAUGCGCAGAUAUCAGGAGGAACACCAAUGGCGAAGGCAGCUCGCUGGGACGGUACUGACGCUGAGACGCGAAAGCGUGGGGAGCAAACAGG
This 253-nucleotide ribosomal RNA is filed under the name uncultured bacterium. RNAcentral's name for it is "partial 16S ribosomal RNA". It matches the Rfam family "Bacterial small subunit ribosomal RNA", at positions 524 to 776 of the family's 1533-position model. The record is from RNAcentral.